RNAcentral lists this ribosomal RNA (440 nucleotides) under uncultured bacterium. RNAcentral's name for it is "partial 16S ribosomal RNA". It matches the Rfam family "Bacterial small subunit ribosomal RNA", at positions 338 to 795 of the family's 1533-position model. The record is from RNAcentral.
CCUACGGGAGACAGCAGUGGGGGAUAUUGCACAAUGGGGGAAACCCUGAUGCAGCGACGCCGCGUGUGGGAAGACGGUCCUCUGGAUUGUAAACCACUGUCCCCAGGGACGAAGAUGACGGUACCUGGGGAGGAAGCUCCGGCUAACUACGUGCCAGCAGCCGCGGUAAUACGUAGUGAGCGAGCGUUGUCCGGAAUUACGGGGUGAAAAGGGAGCGUAGGCGGGGAUGCAAGUUGGGUGUCAAAACUACCGGCUCAACUGGUAGUCGCACUCAAAACUGCAGCUCUUGAGUGAAGUAGAGGCAGGCGGAAUUCCUAGUGUAGCGGUGAAAUGCGUAGAUAUUAGGAGGAACACCAGUGGCGAAGGCGGCCUGCUGGGCUUUUACUGACGCUGAGGCUCGAAAGUGUGGGGAGCAAACAGGAUUAGAUACCCUAGUAGUC